Molecule: ribosomal RNA, 254 nt
Filed under: uncultured bacterium
Lineage: Bacteria
Description: partial 16S ribosomal RNA
Rfam family: Bacterial small subunit ribosomal RNA
Source: RNAcentral
UACGUAGGGUCCAAGCGUUAUCCGGAAUCACUGGGCGUAAAGCGUGCGUAGGUGGUUUGUUAAGGGUAUUGCGAAAUCCUGUGGCUCAACCAUAUGGACUGUAAUGCAUACUGGCAAACUAGAGGACGGCAGAGGCAAGUGGAAUUACUGGUGUAGCAGUGAAAUGCGUAGAGAUCAGUAGGAACACCAAUGGCGAAGGCAGCUUGCUGGGCCGACCCUGACGCUAAGGCACGAAAGCGUGGGGAGCGAACAGG